CCUACGGGUGGCUGCAGUAGGGAAUAUUGGGCAAUGGGUGCAAGCCUGACCCAGCCAUCCCGCGUGCCGGAUGAAGGCCCUCUGGGUCGUAAACGGCUUUUGACGGUGAAGAACCGAAAGGGUGCGCCCUUUUUUGACGGUAGCCGUUGAAUAAGCACCGGCUAACUCCGUGCCAGCAGCCGCGGUAAUACGGAGGGUGCGAGCGUUGUCCGGAUUUAUUGGGUUUAAAGGGUGCGUAGGCUGGAGGGACAGUCAGCGGUGAAAAGCAGUUGCUC
RNAcentral lists this ribosomal RNA (275 nucleotides) under uncultured bacterium. RNAcentral describes it as "partial 16S ribosomal RNA". It matches the Rfam family "Bacterial small subunit ribosomal RNA", at positions 338 to 610 of the family's 1533-position model. The record is from RNAcentral.